AGGCAGCAGUGAGGAAUAUUGGACAAUGGAGGCAACUCUGAUCCAGCCAUGCCGCGUGCAGGAAGAAUGCCCUAUGGGUUGUAAACUGCUUUUAUUUAGGAAGAAACCCCCCAACGUGUUGGGGGCUGACGGUACUAAACGAAUAAGGACCGGCUAACUCCGUGCCAGCAGCCGCGGUAAUACGGAGGGUCCAAGCGUUAUCCGGAAUCAUUGGGUUUAAAGGGUCCGCAGGCGGGCUAUUAAGUCAGUGGUGAAAUCUCUUGGCUUAACCAAGAAAUUGCCAUUGAAACUACUAGUCUUGAAUUCGGUCGAAGUGGGCGGAAUGUGUCAUGUAGCGGUGAAAUGCAUAGAUAUGACACAGAACACCGAUAGCGAAGGCAGCUCACUAGGCCUGAAUUGACGCUCAGGGACGAAAGCGUGGGGAGCGAACAGGAUUAGAUACCCUGGUAGUCCACGCCGUAAACGAUCAUUACUCGAUAUCAGCGAUAUACAGUUGGUGUCUAAGCGAAAGUGAUAAGUAAU
This 522-nucleotide ribosomal RNA is filed under the name uncultured Brumimicrobium sp. RNAcentral describes it as "bacterial SSU rRNA". It matches the Rfam family "Bacterial small subunit ribosomal RNA", at positions 346 to 868 of the family's 1533-position model. Lineage: Bacteria; Pseudomonadati; Bacteroidota; Flavobacteriia; Flavobacteriales; Crocinitomicaceae. The record is from RNAcentral.